RNAcentral lists this ribosomal RNA (484 nucleotides) under uncultured bacterium. Its description in RNAcentral is "partial 16S ribosomal RNA". It matches the Rfam family "Bacterial small subunit ribosomal RNA", at positions 30 to 507 of the family's 1533-position model. The record is from RNAcentral.
AUUGAACGCUGGCGGCAGGCCUAACACAUGCAAGUCGAGCGGAUGAAGGGAGCUUGCUCCUGGAUUCAGCGGCGGACGGGUGAGUAAUGCCUAGGAAUCUGCCUGGUAGUGGGGGAUAACGUCCGGAAACGGGCGCUAAUACCGCAUACGUCCUGAGGGAGAAAGUGGGGGAUCUUCGGACCUCAUGCUAUCAGAUGAGCCUAGGUCGGAUUAGCUAGUUGGUGGGGUAAAGGCCUACCAAGGCGACGAUCCGUAACUGGUCUGAGAGGAUGAUCAGUCACACUGGAACUGAGACACGGUCCAGACUCCUACGGGAGGCAGCAGUGGGGAAUAUUGGACAAAGGGCGAAAGCCUGAUCCAGCCAUGCCGCGUGUGUGAAGAAGGUCUUCGGAUUGUAAAGCACUUUAAGUUGGGAGGAAGGGCAGUAAGUUAAUACCUUGCUGUUUUGACGUUACCAACAGAAUAAGCACCGGCUAACUUCGUG